UUUUUUUCCGAAACAAUCCAAUAAUCCCGUGAUUCCCUCCUCUACUGACUCGUCUCAGUCUCCCACUCACUCACUCAAACAACCCACACUAUAUUCCUUCUUCCUCCCCAUCAAGUAUCAACACUCCUUUCCAAAAUUAAUCCUCUUUCUUCACAAAUCAACCAAAUUUCAAUCACAAUGCCGAUUUACCUAGUUGACAACAACGGCGCACCCAUCAACAUCCAAUCCCCAAACCCCAAUCUCCCAACACCUCUCAACAUAACCCUCGUUGACCACUACCUCCCAUACGACACCCACAACACCUACGAAAUCACAAUCGAUUCAUCUCACACAAUCCAAACCCUCUUAACCUCAUCCCCUUCUCAAGUCGAUUCCUGGCUCCUCCAAACCCAAUCUCAAUCCCCUCUCCUCGUCGGUCUCGACAUCGAAUGGCGUCCAAACUCCCAACGCGGCCAAUCAAACCCCGCCGCCACUCUCCAACUCUGUACCAACAACCGCUGCCUCGUUUUCCAGAUCAUCCAUUCCCCUUCCAUUCCUACCUCCCUGUUAACGUUCCUUGCUAACCCUAACAACAGAUUCGUUGGUGUUGGAAUUGAAGCUGAUGUUGAGAAGCUUAUUGAAGAUUAUGAUAUGAGUGUGAGGAAUUUUGUUGAUUUGAGGAACCUUGCUGCUGAGGUUCUUGAUGAUAGAGAUUUGUUGAGAAGUGGGAUUAAAAGUUUGGGUGAACGUGUUCUUGGGAAAAUUAUUGAGAAACCGCAGAGGAUUACGAGAAGUAGAUGGGAUAAUCCUUGGCUUAAUGCUGAUCAAGUUAAGUAUGCUACUGUUGAUGCUUAUGUUUCGUUUGAGAUUGGUCGUCGUCUUUAUUCUAAUCAGGUUAUUGAAUGAACAAUCAUCUUAUUUUUGAGCUUAUGCCAAAUGACUUAUGGAAAUAAAUAAUUUUUUACUUAUUAUUAUAAGUUUUUCAUGGUAAUUUAUGAUUAAAGCAACUUAUAACAUACAAUUUUUGUAAAUGAAAACUUAUGAAAUAGCACAAACAUUUAUUUAUUUGCAUAAAAUUAUUUUCAUAAGCUCAAAAAUAAGUCAAAUUCGAUCUUAAUGUGUUUGGUGUCUAUUUAUCUUUGACAUUUGUUAGUAGUGUUGCUAGUUUUCAGUUAGUAGUGUUGUUAGGUUUCAGGUUAAACAAUUGAGACUUUUUUAAGUCUGUGAAUGUGAUGAUGAUUAUGAUGGGUAUUCUGGAUUAACUAAAGUAGUUUCAAUUUCAGGGGAUUAUCAUUUGUUCCACAUUAUCAAGAUAAUGUUUCUCUAUAUCUAAUCAAAUAAUGAGUAAUUAGAAUUAUUCAGCCAUUUAUCUAUAGUAUUACUGUAUUUCUUAUUUCACUGUUUACAAAACACAUUAUUUCAAGAUUAUGGUGGGUGCCACACUUGAUUCCGAAUGUGGUCAACACAAAAUUAUUGAGGGUAACUGUGCUAAUUACUAGUAUUAACUUGAAUAUGUCCAUGGAUGCCAUGAUUUUUGUUAUAUAAAGGAGUCUUAUAAAGAGUUGAAACAUCUCAAUUUUUUUUUUUCUUUUUCACAUCAGCAUUUUAAUUAUGUUGACAUCCUAAUGUACUAUAAUUCACUACCAUCCAUCUAAAAGUAUUUUAUUAAUAUUAAAAAGAAAAGAAAGAGUAGGGGACAUAAAUCAAACCCACCAAAAUAUGAUUAACAAAAGCAACAAUUAGGAAAACCUGAUUUUCAUUUUAUUUUUAAAAUCAUAGGUAUUCUUUGCGUGCAAUUAUGGAGAUUAAUUUCCUCGAGGUAAUUGAAAUUCAUUUGAUGGGUUGAUAUGUCCCAACAAAUAUUUUUUCGCAGAUGGCCAGAAUCGAAUCCAUGAUCAAAUGGUUAAUGGCUCAAAUACCUACCACUUGUGCCACACUAUGUUGGUUUGACAAACCUACUAUGUCUCUAAAGAAAUCUUCUAGACAAUAAUUAAGUAAUUGAUCUAGACAAUAAUUAAGUAAUUGAUCCCUCCAGAGUAAUCCCUAAAUAAAAAAUCCAAUGGCUACUCUAUCAAAACAAGUGUUUCCUUUGUAAAUUGUAAUAUUGAAAGUAUAAAGUGGAAGUUUCUAAUGGAUUUGGUAGAUACAAGUUUGUAAAAAAUCUAUGCAAGUAUUUUGUACAAUGAGAAGCUAAUGGAUUUGGUAGAUUGUUUGAGGUAUUGGCUUACAAGUCUUUAACGUUACCGAGAGUUCCUCUUUUAUAGGAGAUUCAAAUAUAGACGUUUAUGAAUACUUAAUCGUACACAAUCUGACUGUUGAAAGUUAACUAGCUACUUACUUUCUUUACUCUAUCUAUUCAUCCUAUUUUGAUGAGAACUUCGUAAUCCUUUUUCGUAGGAGGAAGUAUUCGUUGAGCUUUCUUGGGAAUGACAUUUCUUCAACAUUGUUGAUCGUGAGCAUGCUUCCUGUAACUGUUCGGGCACCUCCUCUUAUAUAGUAGGCGGUCCGACACUGUAUCUCACGAUCUUCUCUAUCACUCUCUAUGAUAGAGUUUUUGUCUUCUGUGAAAAUUGAAGUGCAUACCCACUACCCAUUGACAUCCCUAGCAGUAGCACCCAUCCUUCAUUAAAAAAAUAAAAUAAAAUUGAUAGCACCCAUCAUCCUUAACAAAGAUUAGUAUAAAAAAAAGUAGUACUAAACUUGUUUUUAAGUCAUUGUCAACAAGAAAAAUAAAAACCAAAAUCAAUUACCACCGACGGUCAACAAUAAAAAUCAAUGAGUACUACUCAACUUUCGAUUUAGUAUUGAGAAUAAUAUGUCUAAAUCUUCUCAGCCGCCUCCUGCUUCUCUAAACCCUAAUUUAUUAUUUUCUUCAUCCACCAAAGAAGGGUGGUUUUUGGGUCAAUUUUUGACCCAAAAUCACCCCUCUAAGUUGUUUUUUAUUUUCUUUUCAUUUAAAUAAGUGGUUUUCACAUAUUUAUUUGUUUUGAUUUGCCUUCUACAAUGUAUUUUGUUGUCCGUCUUUGUGCGGUGUAUUGUUUUGUUCCGUCUUUGUGCAGUGUUUUUUGUUUCAGGUUGAAGGAUAAAUUUCGAUGUAGUGCAGAUUCAAUCAAUGUCGACUUUGGUCUCAUCAAUGCUAUAGAUCUUGAGGCAUGAAUAUUUCGGACACUCCAAUAUAGUCAAAUUUAAAUUUGAAGUCAUAUGCAAUUUUUCGUUUUAUGCUAUUAAUUAACAUGAAUACUGUGAAUUUGUUCGCAGAUUUAUCCUUUUUGUUUUUAGCGACUUUUAAUUUGUAUUGCAUCGAUGUACUCUAUCAAUUUAAAUGAAUGAAUAUCAUUUAUUUUAGGUAAAAAAAAGUCUAAAUAUUUUUCAAAAAUUUAUAGUUAAAUAUAAAUUAGAUUUAUAUUUAAAAUAAAAUAUUAUUAAAAUUUAAGAUUUAUAAAGCCAUUAGGUUUGGUUUAGUGAUGAGGGGAUUCGGCAGUAUGCAAAAGAUCCUGAGUUCAAUUCUCAGCUCCAAUUUUAAAGACAUAUUUAUAAUUUAUAUCCCUCUGUUUUUUUUAAGUGUUUUUUAAUGUCAGAUUUAACGUUCUUAUUUAACUGUCGCUUUUGUAUUUUAAGGGUACAAUUCGUCAAUUAUACCCUUUGUCAAUUACUCUUAUAUUUUUAAUAAAAUUAAUUAAUCCUAUAUAUUUGGAAAACUAAAGUUGUUUUUUUUAAAAAAAUUGUUUUGUACAUAACAUAUUACAUUUUUUUUUUGUUUUUACAUAAUAUAUUAAAUUUAUUAGAAGGAGAAAGUGUUUGCAAAAAAUAAGAAUUUAUUGGUGAAUUAAAAUUAUGGUAUAAUACGAAGAUAAGUUGCAAAAAUAUAUUUUCUUAAUUUAUUGUUACCAUUUUUUUUCCAGUUGAUAGAUGAAAUGACAAAGACAUUGAUAACUCACACACACAAAGUGAAGUGACCUGUGUUCGAACUCCGAUCCUGAAAUCCGACACUAACAAUUUCGACAUUUUUACCAGUUGAGGUAGAAUUUGUGGACUUAGUGUUACUAUUACAGAACUCUUAAAAAACAUGGAGGGAGUAUUUAUUAUUUAAAAAACAAGAUUUAUUUUAAUGUAGCUCUAAAGCUAUAUAAAAUUAUGAAUCAUAUACGAGAAUAAACACUUCAGACCAAAUGUUAGUUGGUUCAGUGGUGAUUGACGCUGAACUUGGUAGGAAGAAUCACGGUUCUUUCCCCGCAAUUAUAUUUGGGAGGGAACUGAAAUCACUUAAUAUCAGAAUUCGUCCGAACUUUAAACUACUAGGGACCAUUCCUUUAGGAACCAGAGGGUGAAAAAAAAAAAAACACUUCAGAGUAUUAUUGGUAUAAUAUAACAAUUCUUCAUAGUACUGCACUGCUCAACUUUCCCCUUUCGCACAGUGUUUUUGUUAACGCGUUUCCUUCAUAUUUCGUCAUUGUGUUCUUUCACCAUACCCACUCUUCUCUUCAUCACUAAACUAUAGAAGUAUUAAUUCACAAUGUCAACAAUCAUCAGAGACCGUAACGGCAAUCCCAACCCCAACCCCAACCCCACACCACCACCACCACAAUCCAUCACCAUCACAAUCCUCGACCACUCUCUCCCAUCCUCCACUCACAACCUCUACGACAUCACCUUCGACUCCAUCUUCACGAUCCAAACCCUCCUAACCUCCACCCCUUCCAUAGUCGACGCCUGGUUCCUCGAAACCCACCGUCUCCAUCCCUUCCCUCUCCUCGUCGGUCUCGACAUCGAAUGGCGUCCUAACUUCCAACGCGGCCAAUCAAACAAAACCGCCGUCCUCCAACUCUGUAUCAACAACCGCUGCCUCGUUUUCCAAAUCAUCCAUUCCCCUUUCGUUCCUACUUCCCUAUUAACGUUCCUUGCUAACCCUAAUAACAGAUUCGUUGGAGUUGGAAUUAAAGAAGAUAUUGAGAAGCUUCUAGAAGAUUAUAAUAUUAGUGUUGCGAAUUUUGUUGAUUUGAGGAACCUUGCUGCUGAUGUGUUGAAUGAUC
RNAcentral lists this long non-coding RNA (5009 nucleotides) under Trifolium pratense (red clover). RNAcentral's name for it is "long non-coding RNA (TPRA_LNC013254)". Lineage: Eukaryota; Viridiplantae; Streptophyta; Magnoliopsida; Fabales; Fabaceae. The record is from RNAcentral.